Molecule: long non-coding RNA, 349 nt
Organism: Oncorhynchus nerka (sockeye salmon)
Lineage: Eukaryota; Metazoa; Chordata; Actinopteri; Salmoniformes; Salmonidae
Exons: 3
Source: RefSeq, a predicted model, not a curated record
AGUAUGCUGCUGCAGUUGCAGACUGACACUGGCCGCUCCGGUGGAGAUAUCAGUGCAGGGAGCAGUCCUCACCCCUCCACCCCAGAUGAGGAUGACAGCCAGACUGAAUUGCUGAUUGCUGAGGAGAAACUUAGUCCUGAAGAUGAUGGACAAGUUAUGCCAAGGUACGAGGAGCUGUCUGAGAGUGUGGAGGACUAUGUUCUAGAUGUCCUGAAGGACCAGUUGAACCGCAGGCAGCCCAUGGACAAUGUGUCCCGUAACCUGCUGCGUCUGCUCACUGCCACCUGUGGCUACAAGGAGGUGCGGCUUAUGGCUGUGCAGAGGCUAGAGAUGUGGCUGCAGAAUCCAA